This 1430-nucleotide long non-coding RNA is filed under the name Theobroma cacao (cacao). Its description in RNAcentral is "long non-coding RNA (TCAC_LNC005090)". The record is from RNAcentral. Lineage: Eukaryota; Viridiplantae; Streptophyta; Magnoliopsida; Malvales; Malvaceae.
UUUGUCUUUGGGAUUAUUAAGUAGUCUUGUUAAUAAAGAAUAAUGCAACAGUACAAACCUGUAAAGAAAUAAAUGCAGUUUGGGAGGAUUUGGGAAGGAAUAAUUUGAGAGGAUUUUCCAGAUAUGAAGAGAUAGGUUGUAGAUUUGCAUGGGAGCAUCUUCUGCUCAAAGUCUUGCCAAAAAGCCAUCAUAUGCUUUGUGCAGGCUAGCGACAGUGGCUACCCUUUAGUCCCCACACCUUCUGCCAAAUUGAUCCUCCAUUCUUCAUCUUUCAAUUUCCUUCUACCACCCUCCGUUUUAACUUAUUCCACUCUUAACUGUCUCCCUUUUAUCCUCUUCACUGAUCUGUCAUUUGAUGCUCAAGUAUCAGGGGCAGUUGUGCACCAGAACAAUGGUAACCUAUUACAAGUUUGCUUUGUCUGAGACCAAAAGUUCAACACAAUCCGAAAAUAGUAUAUAAAAUUAUUAAACUAAAGCUUCUUUUGGAAACCCAAAGUUCUUUAUGUCUUCCAUCUUCAAGCUAGCUAGCUGCUCACGUUAGAAAGCAAUGAUUACAUGAAUCUGCAGAUCCAAGACAAUCUGUUUUCUACCCCUUAUAUAUACUUUGGUCCUCACACAACAUUUCGCUUUCUUGUCCCAUAUCGCCUCCCUUUUGUUGUAUGUUUAUUAAAUUUAAUUUAUGUAUUCCCUAUAUUGAUAUAUAUACGUACAUAUUUAAUAUGUUUUAUAUAAACAUCGUAUUGUAAGAAAAUUAACAUCUCAAAAAUUUACACAACAUCUCACAAAAAUUUUAUAAAAUUCGUAUUUAACUCAAACUACCAACGUAUAUAAAACAUAUCCGAUUUAUCAACACCGAAUUUAGUAAAAAAAUCAACAACUGCAUUAAUCUCAUGCAUGAAAGGUAUGUACGAAAACAGCUUCACCGAUACUCUUCCACAAGCGGUGGAUAGUUAGCAUCUCAAAAAACAGAUACUAAAACUACAAAAUUCAUAAAAAAAAAAAAAAUCUAAAGAUAAUUAGUUCAAGCAUUUUAACGUUAAAAUUAAGGGGAAUGUGAUCAAUGGCGAUAGACUGAGAUCCAUGAAAUCAAAUAAUUGAAGUCAGUUCCAUUAUGUAUUCAUGAAAACCAAACAAACAACACCUAUACAAUAAUUUUGAAAGAAAAAGACAAGAUUGUGUUCUUUCAACUUGAAGGUACCUCCGACAAGCAAGUGAAUCGUCAAAGGGUUUCUGGCGUUGGCACCACUCGAUUUGUUUCACGUCAAGUCAUCUCAACAUAUUAGCGUAUGAAGGUGUCUUUGGGUGAGACAGACAAAAUAUGAGUGAUUUUGAGGAUCUCCCAGACUAAUCUCGACAUGUAACAGAUUCAAUGGUCCAAAGACAUGCUACGUAGAGUGUUGUGAAUCACUCCCUAUGUAUGCAUCGAUGUC